Phyllopteryx taeniolatus (common seadragon) is the source of this 893-nucleotide long non-coding RNA. RefSeq lists it as uncharacterized. The transcript is spliced from 4 exons. The record is from RefSeq and is a predicted model, not a curated record. NCBI's taxonomy places the organism in Eukaryota, Metazoa, Chordata, Actinopteri, Syngnathiformes, Syngnathidae.
UCGCAGAUAUAUUUGUGGAUUUGAAAAACACGUGUGAAUCGCGGAUACAUUUGUGGAUUUGAAAAACCCUCGUGCAAACAAUUUUGAGACACGUCUCUGCCCAUACUAAUCGAUUUUGCCGUGUUCUGUACGUCCUCGCUGUGAAUGCAGCGUGUCAUUAAACUCCGGUCAGUAGGUGGCGGUAGACAAUACCUCCACCAAGACGCGCAGCGUGGUCUGCCAGAAAAGAAGAGGUUCAAGACGAAGCGGGUCGCUAGCACACGAACAACACACGAAGAUGAAUGUAUUGAAAAUUAUUUCAAGCGAAUCACGAAAAAGCCUCGUCCCGAGGACACACGCCAACAUGAGGUACAGUUCGGAAGCAACAGAAAGCACAAGCCUACAGCUAAGACAGGCCCAGGAAGAAGGGCUUUGUUGAGUUUGGAGCAGAAGUUGACCGAACAGAACUCUGAACGCCCGGCAUAUCACAAGGAGAAAGCAUCUCUCACACUCACCUUUUACAAAUGAAUAGGUUUUGGUGAAAACAGACCUCCGCCAUCGCUGACAAGGAGAACACCUGGCUGCCUGCUGUAAAAUAUCUGUUAAUGGACGUGAUCCUGUGGACUUCAAUUUUGAAAAGAUUUAGCAACAUCUUUUAGGAAGCCAUGUAAAAUUCACCAUUUCGUACUUCUUUUGAUUUGUUACCCACGUUAUUUCUUAUUUCAGGAAGCAAUUAUAUUUUUAUUGGAAUUUAGAAAGUUAUUUGGUGUUUGAUAUUAUACUUUACAUUAAUUUGUAUUUAUCUAAGUUAGCGAAUGUAAUGUUUUUAUUGAAUUUCUUAUUCGGUGCUUGUUUAAACAAUUUAUCUAAAUCCAUAAAAACGGCCACCAUUUUCCUUCCAAUUUUUCGGUGCU